CGUGGAUUUCAUUAAAAGUUUCAUGUCACUAGUUUUUCAUAUUUACAGCAGCUAGUAAAGAGCAAAGCUACACUAGCUGUGGUCAUGAAUAUGCUAUAAAGAGCAGAUAAAGGGAAACAAGUUAAUUAGAACAUAAUACUUCAGCAAAAAAUGAUUAUAAGUUGGUGACUAUCGAUGGCCAGGAAGUGGCCAACUAGCCAAGCAGCAAGCAAAAGAAGAACCAACCAAGCAGCAUGCAGAAGAAGAAUCACUGAUUCACUGACGGCGACAACUUGCAGAGGAAGAUGUAGGGGCUUCGUAGACAACUAGCUGACUAUGUUUUAGUAAUUUUGUUUAGGGAUACAUUUUGCAAAAUAUAACUUAGUAAUUGGCAAAAAAAAAAAAUGUGGUCCUCAACACCUCGCCCUCCAUUUCAGCAAAUUAACAUCACUCCUCCCUCAGUUUACCUUAUCUCCAAACCUCGUUCAUAAUAAUGAUUGUGAAAUUAUUGGUAUGUUAUGAAUCCUUUCCAAAAAUAUCAAUGACAAACACAAUAUAACAGCAGUGGAUUCAUUAUAGACCUGUUUAGACAAAGAUAGAAAUAACUUACUGCUAUAAUCCUCUGAGCUGCAGCCAAGGCUGAUGUUUUCAAACAGGUUUUUGGGAGUAGAAGUUUCCUCCUUUAUCAAGCAAAUCCUACAAACAUGGAAGAAGAAUGGAAAUUUAAAAAAAAAAAAGACAUUACCAAACUAACUUCUUCACUAUCGAAAAUUCAUAAAUAUUAUUUCCAAAUUAGAAUUAGUUUUAAAAAAAUUCAAAUCAAUAUUAUCCAUCAACAAUCAACGACAUAGAUCAAAGAACAUACUUCAGCAAAAAUGCAAUAAAAGUGGGUGACUAUCGAUGGCAAUUAAUCGGCGAAACCACGAGAAAUCUUGAUGGCGGCAUUCAACCGACCAGCCAAGCCGCAAGUGGAAGAAGAAGCACCGACGGCAACGACUUGUAGACGAAUCGAUUAGGAUUUGAUUAUUAUGUUUCAAUUUGGCACCGUCUCUUUUUACCCUUCACAAUCCCUUAAUCUGACUAUUCCGUCUUCGAUUUUUGAUUUUU
RNAcentral lists this long non-coding RNA (1086 nucleotides) under Citrus maxima (pomelo). RNAcentral describes it as "long non-coding RNA (CMAX_LNC003274)". The record is from RNAcentral. Lineage: Eukaryota; Viridiplantae; Streptophyta; Magnoliopsida; Sapindales; Rutaceae.